MicroRNA precursor from Strigamia maritima, 84 nucleotides. It matches the Rfam family "mir-46/mir-47/mir-281 microRNA precursor family". Rfam says of the family: The hairpin precursors (represented here) are predicted based on base pairing and cross-species conservation -- their extents are not known. In this case the mature sequences are expressed from the 3' arms of the hairpin precursors. The record is from Rfam. Lineage: Eukaryota; Metazoa; Arthropoda; Chilopoda; Geophilomorpha; Linotaeniidae.
GUUUUCUUUCAAUGAAGAGAGCUAUCCGUCGACAGUGUUGCCAUAGAAAACUGUCAUGGAGUUGCUCUCUUUAUGGAUUGGAGA